GGGUCCAGUUCAUCUCUGCAGCCCGUCUCCUCACAUGGGACCCCAGGGAAGCUAUGGCAUUUUGGGUGACCAAAGCUCAGCCCAACAGAGCACCUGGGCACUCUUGGGCAGCUCAGUCAUCUUGCUCUGGGCUGGGGCCUUGUGCACCACAGUGAAGGDUGUGGUGGCCCUGGGUCUUCCCAUCCAGGCCCACAGCUCCACUGGCAACACAGGGUUAGAGUAUGCAGGCAGACGCCUAGGCUYUGCCUCGGGGUUGAGAUAACUGAACAGGGCGUGAGAAACCAGUGGCUAUGAGAAAUCAUUGGACACUGCAGGGAACAGAAUGAGACCCUGCCAAGUUCCAGACAGCACGGUGAGCRAUGGCUGSAUUUCAGCRGUGGUUAAGGGAGAGUUAUAUGAGAAAAGGACAAGCGUCACACAUAACUGGCGUAUUGGGGAUCCUCCGGGGAGUAGACUCUUGCAGCACCAGCAGUACCGAGGUAACGAUAUCAGAAGCACUGUAUGAGCCAGAGGUUACCUAGCUAACAGUACCAGAAAUAUUAAACUUGAGUACAUAGGCAGUAAAACUGGCACCAAUGAAGAAAAAAGUACUUAGAGAUGGGCUUUUUGUUUCAAAGGGGAUAAAGCUGGAGAAAGGGAGGGAUCAAGCUGCAUCACGUAAGAAGCAGCAUGGGAAAAUGGAGGCAGAGGGAAUAAAAGGGGCCAGUCACGUGUAAGCAAGCUGCCGGCAAGGACACUUGUCUAGCCAGGCUGUGUACCUGCUAUCUGCGGUGUAGCCUAUCAUUGUAUUAAAUCCUUUUCCUAGCUCUUUUCUGGGUGAGCAUGCUAGCUGUUCUACGUGAGUGCAUGUGUGGAAGGCUUGCAGACGUCAAGGCAGCCAGCUCCAGAAACACCUGUGCGAGGGACCAGGCCAUUUGUAUCGUUCAUAUUUAUGAGUGCUGCUCAUGUCUCCGUGGUGCCUGUAAAGGUACUGUGCCCCUGCCGGAGUUGAUUUUUGGGUGGUCGACCAUGUCCGUACAGAGUGUGUGUAUGCCUCUUGGAAGUACAUGCCCCACCUCGCUGCUGGCAGGACCAGGGAACAGAGAACCGCAGCAGUCUCCCUUCUAGCAGACCAGAAAGGAGGAAUCCCUGUAUUCAAAAAUCCACUGGAUCCAGUGUCCUUUAACAGCGCAGGCCCUGGAGGUGCUGCAGCCACU
This 1196-nucleotide long non-coding RNA is filed under the name Apteryx haastii (Great spotted kiwi). Its description in RNAcentral is "lncRNA (ENSAHAG00000007100.1)". Lineage: Eukaryota; Metazoa; Chordata; Aves; Apterygiformes; Apterygidae. The record is from RNAcentral.